AUGAACGCUGGCGGCGUGCCUAAUCCCUGCAAGUCGAGCGCACAGACGAGGAGCUUGCUCCUCUGACGUUAGCGGCGGACGGGUGAGUAACACGUGGAUAACCUACCUAUAAGACUGGGAUAACUUCGGGAAACCGGAGCUAAUACCGGAUAAUAUAUUGAACCGCAUGGUUCAAUAGUGAAAGACGGUUUUGCUGUCACUUAUAGAUGGAUCCGCGCCGCAUUAGCUAGUUGGUAAGGUAACGGCUUACCAAGGCAACGAUGCGUAGCCGACCUGAGAGGGUGAUCGGCCACACUGGAACUGAGACACGGUCCAGACUCCUACGGGAGGCAGCAGUAGGGAAUCUUCCGCAAUGGGCGAAAGCCUGACGGAGCAACGCCGCGUGAGUGAUGAAGGUCUUCGGAUCGUAAAACUCUGUUAUUAGGGAAGAACAAAUGUGUAAGUAACUAUGCACGUCUUGACGGUACCUAAUCAGAAAGCCACGGCUAACUACGUG
This 496-nucleotide ribosomal RNA is filed under the name uncultured bacterium. Its description in RNAcentral is "partial 16S ribosomal RNA". It matches the Rfam family "Bacterial small subunit ribosomal RNA", at positions 29 to 507 of the family's 1533-position model. The record is from RNAcentral.